AUUUCUUUAAAAUCCAAAUAUCCAACUCCAAAGCAAAUAAGGCAUAAUGCCAAGACCUGAUAAAGCUGGGUGGGAGAGACAGCUAAUUAUCACAUUAUUCCCUGUCUCAGGAUUAUAUUUGAAAAACAUCUCAAAAAUUUAUUUUUAAAUGUUUAGUAAAAACAGGCAUUUCCCUUUAUUUUGAGGAGACAAGGCUUAAGAAUCAAGUUAAAUGUGUUUUUGCUCUGCAUUAGUCUAAUCCAAUCGCUAAAACAGACGGAGGACUAAAGAACUGCUACAUUAUAAAGGAGUCCAGGUGUAAAAACAAACACUCUGAGAAAGAAAACUACGUACUAUAAAACACCUAGAAAAAAAGUUGUUUUUAAAACAGCAUUCACUGUUUUCUCAAUUAUAAAAGAAUUUGUGCUAUGUGUAAGAGGAGAAGAAAAACUUCGGGGGGGGAAAAAAAACAAAGAAAAAUGUUACCCAUGAAUUACCCUAUCACCCAACCAUAACUAUUAAUAUUCUGAUGGGAGUAGCUGUCUAGGAUUUGUUAUGUGCAUUUUUUACUUACAAAAAUGGCAUACCAUAUAUACAUUCUGUUUUGUAGACAGCUUAUUUGAACAGCUUUUUUAUUAGAAUAUUCAUGGAUGCACCUCUCUUUUCCUGGAUUUUUAUCUCAAAGUAGUACACAUGCUAUACACAGACUUCAGUCCUGACAGCUUAAAAGACUUUGAUCGGACUUACCAGCCAAGUGGAGAAGUGCA
RNAcentral lists this long non-coding RNA (746 nucleotides) under Bos taurus (domestic cattle). Its description in RNAcentral is "long non-coding RNA NONBTAT026850". The record is from RNAcentral. Lineage: Eukaryota; Metazoa; Chordata; Mammalia; Artiodactyla; Bovidae.